This 490-nucleotide ribosomal RNA is filed under the name uncultured bacterium. Its description in RNAcentral is "partial 16S ribosomal RNA". It matches the Rfam family "Bacterial small subunit ribosomal RNA", at positions 29 to 507 of the family's 1533-position model. The record is from RNAcentral.
AGUGAACGCUGGCGGCAGGCCUAACACAUGCAAGUCGAACGGUAACAGGAAGAGGCUUGCUUCUUUGCUGACGAGUGGCGGACGGGGGAGUAAUGUCUGGGAAACUGCCUGAUGGAGGGGGAGAACUACUGGAAACGGUAGCUAAUACCGCAUAACGUCGCAACACCAAAGAGGGGGACCUUCUGGCCUCUUGCCAUCGGAUGUGCCCAGAUGGGAUUAGCUAGUAGGUGGGGUAACGGCUCACCUAGGCGACGAUCCCUAGCUGGUCUGAGAGGAUGAGCAGCCACACUGGAACUGAGACACGGUCCAGACUCCUACGGGAGGCAGCAGUGGGGAAUAUUGCACAAUGGGCGCAAGCCUGAUGCAGCCAUGCCGCGUGUAUGAAGAAGGCCUUCGGGUUGUAAAGUACUUUCAGCGGGGAGGAAGGGAGUAAAGUUAAUACCUCUGCUCAUUGACGUUACCCGCAGAAGAAGCACCGGCUAACUCCGUG